UCAGGAUGAACGCUGGCGGCGUGCUUAACACAUGCAAGUCGAACGGACAGAGAAGAUUUCGGUUUUCUUUGUUAGUGGCGGACGGGUGAGUAACGCGUGGGCAACCUACCUUAUACAGGGGGAUAACAGUUAGAAAUGACUGUUAAUACCGCAUAAGCGCCCGAGAUCGCAUGAUCUUGAGUGAAAAACUCCGGUGGUAUAAGAUGGGCCCGCGUCUGAUUAGCUAGUUGGUAAGGUAACGGCUUACCAAGGCAACGAUCAGUAGCCGACCUGAGAGGGUGAUCGGCCACAUUGGGACUGAGACACGGCCCAAACUCCUACGGGAGGCAGCAGUGGGGAAUAUUGCACAAUGGGGGAAACCCUGAUGCAGCGACGCCGCGUGACUGAAGAAGUAUUUCGGUAUGUAAAGGUCUAUCAGCAAGGAAGAAAAAAGACGGUA
This 439-nucleotide ribosomal RNA is filed under the name Eubacteriaceae bacterium P304. RNAcentral's name for it is "bacterial SSU rRNA". It matches the Rfam family "Bacterial small subunit ribosomal RNA", at positions 24 to 477 of the family's 1533-position model. The record is from RNAcentral. Lineage: Bacteria; Bacillati; Bacillota; Clostridia; Eubacteriales; Eubacteriaceae.